RNAcentral lists this long non-coding RNA (1876 nucleotides) under Durio zibethinus. Its description in RNAcentral is "long non-coding RNA (DZIB_LNC001033)". The record is from RNAcentral. Lineage: Eukaryota; Viridiplantae; Streptophyta; Magnoliopsida; Malvales; Malvaceae.
AAUCAUUGAUGCCUCUCUUAGAAUUGUGGUAAACUGAGAUACAGCUUUGUCUUUUUUAAAUGCUAACUGUAUUUGCUUGCAGACAGUUUAAUUAAACUUCGAUUAGGUCUUUAUUGAUGCACUUCGUAUGUCUAUUUCAUCAAUAAUAGUAUCUUCCUCUUCUUGAAUUGCCACUUUGAAAGCAUUAAACAUUUAGUUGUCCAAGAGUCAACCUAUUCUUGUUUAACUGAACUAAUCAACUAUGUUAUCUGCCAAUCCUUAGUGAUUCACUUUGGUUCUAUUGGACCUAGCUAGUCAAUCUUUCAUUGCUUUUGAUACCAUCUGUUUAAUAUAUGCUUGAUAAAUUUCAAAGGCUUUGAAAUGUGCCGUAUGAUGAGAAGUUGUUAUGUGGGGUAGUUCUUUUGUUUGUUAUUGUUGUUUCCUUCUAUCUCUGGAGACAUAGAUUGGUUUUUAUGAAAAUCAUGUCAUUAGCUUCACUAUCAUUGAAUUAUGAUGCUGAUGAAAUCUGAGGGUAGUUUGUUUUCUUUGAAUUACAUCUUUUAGUUUGUUGUUAUAUCCUUUUUGGUGUUGGUAUUGGAAGCUUGAUUAGAGCCUUUGUGACCAAUGUGCUUUUUGCUUUCUCUCUCUCUAUAUAUUAGUAGAUCAUAGUUCUUUCUUUCUAUGAUGUUAUGUAGGGGUGUUAGACAUUUGUGUCUUGGUUUUCAUCGAGAUCCUACUGUCUGUUGCCCAAUGAUGGAAAACUCAUUUUUGAUUGAAUGGUUCUGGUUUUCAAUUCAUCUCUAGCUUUUGCACACCACCUGCUUCAUUCUUUCUCUCUCUCUCUCCAUUUGCACGUGUGUUUGUGUGUACAUAUGUAUAUUUAUUUAUUUAUUUAUUUAUUUUUGGUGGUGUGUGAAAAGCUAUUGAUGAGUGCAUUUACGGAACUGUUCAUAAUCUUGGCAAAGAUAUGAGAUCUGAGGGCUCUUUCUAAUUGCACUUUUAGAGCUUUCAAAAUAAGAUGUUGUCUUCAGCCAAAAGAGGCAGAGAAAUUCAGUUACAUAUACAGUGCCAAUCUAUAACUGUAUGUAAGUUAAUUGAAAUUUUAAUUAAUGCAUCAGAGAAAUUUAGACUUAGCAUUUCUCUGGUUGAUUAAAUAUGUAUUUGUAUGUACAUUUAAUCUUUGCAGUUGGGUGAGGCUGAUUUCUACAGUUUUAUAUGAUAAUCCAUGAAUUUUUCACUUUUUUUCUCUUCUAUGAGCCUACUUUUCUAGGCAGUCUUACUUAGAUACCUUUUACUUGUUAAAGUUUGGUCUUGAGAUCACUUGCCCUCAACGGUCUUUGGUAUUAGAUUGCUCAUUAAUCCGCCCUGCCUGAUGAUGGAUACUUUAUGUGGGGAGAAGUUUCUACGGCAUCGUUGUUGGCCUCCAUCCUUUCUGCAACUUGUCAUCAUUGUUGUUGGCACUGGUAGUAGUGGAUGUGGAGUGGUUUUCAAUGAAAUCCUAUAGCAUCACCAUUGAUGAGUUGUUAGAACUAUUGAGUUUUGACCUCUGAGGGCUUGGCUCGUUCUUUUACCAUAUGGUGCAUUAGAAGAUCCUCUGUUUUGAUGUUUCUUAGCGUAUAACAAUAUACAUGUCAAGGCCCAUGCCUUGUUUUAAUGUAACUUCUGAAGCUAGCAGUUCAGUGGGAUUAUUGGUAAUGGGAAUGGUGUUUGAUUCUUAGUAGUGAUUGUUGCAGGGUGUUGUGACUGACAGGAAAAAGUUGGAAUGCCAUGAGAAGGGUGAAGCUGAUGCAUCCGCUGAGGUUUUUGACCAGAGAUGGGAGACCCAAUCAAGAAUUGAAAUUUGUUUUUUGUGUGCUCAGUUCUCACUUGUUAUCUGCUUAGAUUAGACUAGAACUAG